This 1199-nucleotide long non-coding RNA is filed under the name Olea europaea subsp. europaea. The record is from RNAcentral. Lineage: Eukaryota; Viridiplantae; Streptophyta; Magnoliopsida; Lamiales; Oleaceae.
CAAUAAUUUAAUAACUUAUUUAAGUCUUGUUUGAACAGAGUUAGUUCCGGCAAAUCAUCCUUCGUUGCUGGCCAAGAUUUUUGCUGUUGACCUCAAAUUUUGUAUAUCCAACGUGACCAGUAGGUAUCAAGGCCUCCCGUAUUCACUUAAGCAGAUUCCUGCACACUAAGACAAAUCCUUAGCCACAUGUGGCCUCCUUUGGUGGGGUGGAGUUGGCCGUGAUCACUCCAACGGCCAAGUUAGUUGAUAAUAUAAGUGUUUGAAUGUGGGAGUUGCUCUAGACACGAGCCUCUUGUAUAUAUUAAAAUAAAAGGUAUUCAACUUUAGGAGAUUUAAGAGAUGCAAAUUUGUAGUUUGAGAGUCUAAACUUGUAUUACAUUUGGAAUGGCACAUUGUGUGAGUUUUUCUAGUAAAAGAAGAUGAAUAAUAAAAAGGAGAACUAGGCAUAUUUUCAAAGGUUGAAAAAUAUAUUUCAUGAAAAAAAUGACAAUUGAACACUUCAAAAGUUGGAAUUCGAGUGGAAAAAGACCAUUUUUCAUAUAAAAAUUUCCAAACAAAUACAACCUUAUUGUUAAUACUAUUUUGUUGCCUAAAAUCAUUUACCAAGGUUAUGGAAGAUCUUCCAGUAAAACCCAUAAUGGUUCACCCCUCCAAUGGGGGUUCGGUUCCUCAAAUGGCGUAGGCUUCAGCAAAUGGAUUCGACCCUUCAUAAGGGUUCGGCCGGAGAAAUGAUGUGGAAGGCCCAGGUUUGGCUACCACAUGGUCAUGCUAGGAGCCUCGCUAGCGGAGGAGUAACAUUUUCUAAAAUAAUAUGAAGGGCAAGAUAUGUCUUGCAUUUUCUUACAUUCUAUACUUGAUCACAUGCCUUUUACCAUGCUUGAAUAUUCACAUUUGUGUAAAAGAAUGUAUCGUGGAUUUACAAGCAUCACAGAUGUUUACAUGCAUUGCUUUAUAUGAAUUUUCAACAUACACAUAUUCUGCUUAUGUUGCUAUCUUUUCCAAAGUACUGCUUCUUAUCCAUAUUCUCUGGCUCUACAAAGUUUUGUGGGAUCAACCUUAGUUCUCUCCAGUUGUUGUCCCCAUAGAGUCUGAGCAAGGCUGGCAUCAAUAGGUUGGGACUGCAAGUAGACAUUGAAAUAAGUCCUCGUUUUUCAAUUUUUUGCAUUGUUUUUUACCUGUUGAAUUUGAGUUUGUGUUGC